UGGAGAAAGGGGAGGGAGGGAGGGAAGAGAGAGGGAGGGACGGAGCUCUCUGGACCUGAACCAUGCAAGUGACCAUCUCCUGAAGUGAAGGGGUCCAGCCAACAUAGCACACGAGGUUUCACACCCAUAUUCUGAAGCCAACAAGAAUUAUGCACAUGAAUGGAGCCAUAGUAUGUGCUUUAUCAAGUGUUUAGGAAAUGCUGAGGGUGAAAAUAUUUACGACAGUUCAAUAGACAGGACCUCUCUCUGGGUGACAUAGCACUGGCAUGUCAUGGGUGGAGUAAGGUUCCAACCAAGCUCUCCAAUAUAACGCUUUUUAAUAAGGCUGAUAGAUCUGCCUACCUCUGCACGCCACAUGGCAGUGGCUCUUAUUACGUAUUGGAUUCCAAUGCAUCAGGCUUUUGCGGUCAUGGUAUUUCUCCCAGUUCUUGGAUUAUACCUACAGAUUCACCAAGUAGCCUGUCUUUAUCAUCCUCAUGCUUGAUGCUCAUAACGUAUGAAUAAUAUUGAAAAACGAUGUAUAGACAAUGCAUUAGCCACUGAAAUUAGAUUCACACGAAGACGUUCCCAUCUCAUUAUAUAACAGCAUUUGUUAUAUUGUUGAGAGUAACUUUUAUAUACUUACCCCUUCUUAGUUUAUAAGCUAGAAGGGAGAGCCAUCAUUUAACACUCCUGGUGGUGCAUCUUCCCUUCUGUUAGUGCCACCUAACAGGAAAGAGCUUGCUAGGACUGCCAGGACCCUUGGAGAAUUUCUCCAGUACACUGAGAGUCCCAGCAGUCAUCCAGUCACAACGUCGAAGUGAAUUUCUCAUACAUUUUUGUUUUUACUCAAGAGACUGUAGUUGGAUGAUUGGGUGCUCUGAAUGAAUUUUAUUGCUUUUUGCCCUCUCUCCCUACCCAAGGAACUUCCUUCCUAAAAAUGUUCAUGGAUGACAUUCUAUUGCCAUUGAAAAGAAAGGUCUACCUUCUCUUGACAGGGACCCAAGCCUUCCUGUAAUGCUUUGCUGAUGCUCAAAUGAUCAUCCCACACCUUCAGGCAGCCAUUCAUUACGUAAAAUCAUUAUAGCAGAGAAAACUGGGUUUAUAUCUCUAAAAUUAAAUUCCACUGGCUAUACCCUGCCAACUACUUGCAUUUAAAUGUCUGUUUAAUUGGCUGGGAGUUCAGCCAGGCAAAGGUGGUAGAGCUGCAGCCACCAGGCCAUGUGGAAUUGACUGUCACUCAUUAAAGUUAUCCUUAAGAUAAAGAUUUAAAUCUGUUUCAUUUCCUUGCUCAGUAUCACUGAAGUAAAUAGGACUAAGACAUGGGAAUUAAAGGAGAUUUUUUUUGCAGCCAAGAACAUUGACAGCUGAAAUAUAAUCAGUUCCUAAGAUUUAUAAUGCUAUUGACUUUUCUUUUGCAUCAUAAAUUUCACUGCUGACUCUCUGCCUGGGUUUUAUUAUAAUAUCAUAUCAUAUUAGGGAGAUCAGCUUUGCUGGUGACAAAUGAAAACCACUGACAUGAAAAAAAUUCCCAUUAUCAGCUCAUCACCUAAUCAUAUUAGCAUCUUUGUAUCCUAUUAUCAACUUUUUUAUAUAAAAUAACAUUUCCUAAUGACAGGAAUUUCACUAAUGCUAUAUGAGUGAGACUAAUAUCAUUUGAGAGUUCUCAUCAUGCAUAUCCUACUUGAAAGCAAAGAGUAUCUGUUUUCUACACAGACUUUGAAAAUUCCAAAUGGAUGUCUAGCAAUUCAGGCAAAAGAUGCUUUAUGGAAAAGCUGUCCUCGUGACCAGCAAUGAGGGCCUCUCACAUUUUGGUCCCAACAUUCAACUAACAGCAUUACGACUCAUAAAAUUUGAAGGUAGGUAUAGCAGAUUAAAAAAAAAAAAAUCCAGGAGUUCCUGUUGUGGCUCAGAGGGUUGUGAACCCAACUAGUAUCCAUCAGGAUGAGGGUUCAAUCCCUGGCCUCACUCCGUGGGUCAGAAAUCCAGUGUUGCCGUGAGCUGUGGUGUAGGUCGCCGAUGCGGCUCAGAUCUGGCAUUGCCGUGGCUGUGGUGUAGGCCAGCAGCUGUAGCUCAGAUUUGACCCCUAGCCUGGGAACAUCCACAUGCCGCAGGUGUGGCCCUAAAAAGACCAAAAAAAAAAAAAAACAAAACAAAACAAAAAACAAACAAAAAAAAAUCCAAACUACUGAAUGCAAAGUAGAAUAUAUCUAAUUUCUUCAGUUAUCAUUCAUACAAGCCUCAAAGUCAAAUCAGGGUAAAGUUCAGCUAACUGUGACACGAUCCUGAGUGUCUGCCAAUGCUAUUGAGUAAGAGAUGUUCAACUAUUUCUUAGCAAACCUGCAACUUUCUUAUCCUGGUUGAAACUGGAUAAAGGGAGGGAAAAAAAACAGCAUUUCUACAAUUUAUUUUUUAGAAUGUGACCGAGUCAUUGAGUUUGUGGCUAUAUCUGCAAGAUGCUGAACCCGUCAAUCACCUCAGCGAUUCAGUAUGACAACCAGUCAAUGCAGUGAGAAAAUCAAUUUUAUCAGCUCAUUGAACUGAACCAACGCCUGUGGACACAUGCAAAUCAAAGUCCCUUCGUGGCUUCUCAUCACCACUGUGGCAGCUGCUUCUUUCUUGCCCAGUGGGGUAGGGUCCUUACCCAGCUAGAAUUUCCACAAAAAAGGGAGCCCAGCUCUUCCAUGUAUUUUUAAGUUCCCCUGGCAUCUGGCACCAGACUCAGAGACACAUACAAGACAGCACCAAACAUUUCUCCAGGCCAACUGCAACCCAGGGCCCCAGAGAGCAGCCUAAGCUCCCUUGACAAGGACUUCCCUCGCUGCCGCCUCAGUCAUUCUAGAAUUCAGGAUUCACAUCCGACCCUGCUGAGAAAAUACACUCCCAAUGUUUCUUGAACUGACAUUUCAGUCUUUCCAGCAUCGUCCAAAAAGCUUAUUUACUGGGUCCUCACAGCAUCCCUCCAUAGUCAGCCAAGAGCUUCCAAGAUCCCUAGAGUAGUUAAACAGCUUGACUGUCACUAGCCGUAUGUAGCAUGUCUAAGGGCUUGAGGGGCCCUGUCUUUAGAACCCAUGCAUCAAAUGACAGAUCAUGGUGAAUAGCAAAUAUUGAAUGACUGCAUUAAUUAAUUAAAGUAGUGGCUCUCAAACUUUAGUUGGCAUUUGAGAUCACCUGAAAUUUUUUAAAAUAAGGAUUCCAGAGUUCCUGUCGUGGCGCAAUGGUUAACGAAUCCGAUUAGGAACCAUGAGCUUGCGGGUUCGAUUCCUGGCCUUGCUCAGUGGGUUAACGAUCCGGCGUUGCUGUGAGCUGUGGUGUAGGUCGCAGACGCGGCUCGGAUCCCACGUUGCUGUGGCUCUGGUGUAGGCCAGUGGCCACAGCUCUGAUUCGACCCCUAGCCUGGGAACCUCCAUAUGCUGAGGGAGCGGCCCAAGAAAUGGCAAAAAGACAAAAAAAAAAAAUUUUUUUAAAAACAAAAAAAAAUAAAAUAAAAUAAGGAUUCCUGGGAAUUCGAUUGUGGCCAAGGAAGAUUAAGGAUACAGUGUUGUCACUGCAGCAGCUCGGGUCACUGCUGUGGCUUGGGUUUGAUCCUCAGCCCAGGAACUUCCAAAUGCCGCAGGCAUGGCUGGGAAAAAAAAAAAAAAAAAAAGGAUUCCCGGACCCUGUCCCCCCAAAAUGUUUAUUUAAUAGGUCUUGGAUUGGGUGUAGGUUCCUGAAUUUUUAACGAGUACCCUAGGUGGCAUGCUUUGAUUUAAAGUAUAAUUGAUUUUAAGCAAUCUCUUACUUUAAAAAAGCAAAAAAUGAUGUAAAUGUUUGCUAUGAGACAAAUUUUGUAAAUUGACCCAUUUCUGCUGCAAGUAUCUAUUUUCGCUGGGGUUUUUUUUAUAUAUAUAUACAAUUUUUUUUUCCCACUGUACAGCAAGGGGGUCAGGUUAUCCUUACAUGUAUACAUUACAAUUACAUUUUUUCCCCCACCCUUUCUUCUGUUGCAACAUGAGUAUCUAGACAAAGUUCUCAAUGCUAUUCAGCAGGAUCUCCUUGUAAAUCUAUUCUAAGUUGUGUCUGAUAAUCGCUGGGGUUUUUUUGAUGCAUCAUUUACCUAAGCCUAAGCGAAUGAUCAAGCAUUGAAAACGUAUUUCCAGCCCUGAGUGUCCGUGGAAAUUUGUUGGGAAGGCAUCCUUAGUGAACUGUGUGAAAACACUUUCAUGUGGACUGCUGGAUGGCUUUUUUGUGACCUCUGCCUCGUGUAUUUCCAGGCACCCAGCAGCAGAAGGAAACACAUGCAAGUCCUGGGCAGCUCCCACCUUAAGGAGAGGCAAAAGGAGUCACAGAGAAGCCCCCCUGUGCUGUCAGGCUUAAGGGACAAGGGAGGGAAACCCAGCUUCUUGGGAAGCUAGUGGAAGCCAGACGGUAGGGAAGAGGAGAGGAGGUUAGGAGUGUCCUGUGUCUGCCAGCUUCUCAGCUCCUCCUGGCAGGGCAGGUGUUCCCUGCUCUGAGCUCCUAUUUUGACGAGGAUAUGUCUACAUUCCAGGGUUUUUUACGCUAUAGUCUCCUUCACGGCCCACUGUCUGCACGCUCCCUCGUAGUGGGGCAGUGAUGAACAGUACUGGGAUGAAGAAUGUGUUCCAGGGCAGCAGCUGAAGCUCCGAUCGGAUCCCUAGCCUGGGAACCUCAUAUGCCGCGAAUGCGGCCCUAAAAUGACAAAAAAAAAAAAAAAAAAAGAAGUUGUUCCAGGAAUUCCCAUUGUGGCUCGGUGAUAACAAACCCGACUUGUAUCCAUGAGGACUCGGGUCCAAUCCCUGGCCUUGCUCCGUAGGUUAAGGCUCUGGCAUUGCCAUGAGCUGCAGUGUAGGUCACAGACAGAGCUCGAAUCUGGCAUUGCUGCGGCUGUGGGGUUGGCUGGCAGCUACAGCUCUGAUUCAACACCUAUGCAUUGGGUGCAACCCUGGAGAAAAAAAAAAAAAGCGCUUGUUCUGGAGGCCAACCCCAAAUUCAAGUCCACGUCUGCCACGUACUGGUUGUGUGAGCUUGACAACCUAUCCUCUAAACCUCAGCUUCCUCAUCAGCAAAAUGGACACAAUAAUAACCUCCCUGGAGGAACAUUUGCAUGAAUUAAGUGAAAUAAUCCAUGGGAAAUGCUUAGUAAAUUUGCUUUGUAGGUGUUCGAUAAAUGCUAGCUCUUAUAAUUAUUAUUCAUUUUGUGUCCCACGACACCUUGUGAUAAAUGGAAGGGAAAUGAGGCCGUCUGAAACCCAUACUGCUACAGCCGGCCUCGAGCUCCAGCGGGGCCCUGAGGAAGACAGAAGUCAAGGCCAGUCACGUGUCCACUGCCGGUCGCUCUAAGUCUGGCCACGAGCCUACCUUACGUGGAACACCUAACCCUGGUGCGCCUGGACCCAAAACCCAGGCCAUGAAACAUCCAUGCGUCCACCCUCUGAUCUCAGCUUUUGAAGUUUUGCCCCUCGGUGGAAAGACGUGGGGCACACACAGAAAAAGGAGGCACAGCUCUGAGGAUGAUGGCGUGUGGGUCCCUCCCUGGCGUUUUCCCUUCAAUAUCUAAUAUUGUUGGUUCCCUGGGUGCAUGAGAUGAAUGAGUCGUGUUCACCAACCUGUCGCUAAACCACACUCGCACACUCGCAGGCCAAUGCUGCCAUAAUCAUUAGUAAGACACGGCUCUCGGGCACAUCCAAGUGUGGGUAAUAAGCUCUGUGGUGAUCCAGCCCCUGGGGCAUCGGAGGGCAGGGUCCCUCCAAGUCACUUGCGCCACUCUGGAAGCAGCCCAGGCCUGCUGGGUGACACCAGCCUCACGGCGAACAGGGGAGAGAAGCCAUCGGGAGGAGAACAACCCCCAAGGCUGUAAAUGGCCGGCCCCGCCUCCACUCUGAAAGGCCUGCCCUUGAGCCUGGGAACUCCUCUGGCCCUGGACACUCAAGCCCCUCUUCCUCAGUGGCAGGGAGCCCAGGGAGGCCUAGCUCCCAAGACAGUUUUUAAAAAUGAGGCCCAGGAGCGAACCCACAUCCUCAGGGAUACUAGUCAGUUUCCUUCCGCUAAACCACUACAGGAACUCCUCCCCCCAAAAAAAUUUUUUAAUUUUUAAAUAAAGAAGCCUCUGCUGUACAGCAGAAAUUGGCACAACAAAAACAGAGGUGGGGGGAGUUAAAAAAUAAAAGUAACCUCUAAACAUUGUUCCUAGCAUGGUCCCCCCAACCACAACAAGAAACUCAAAAUAGGAACUUUGCCUUUUAGAGAAAGCCUUUCCAUGGACUUUAAAACUAGUUUGUUCUUGAUGGUCACAGCCUCUUGGCAAAAGACUAAUGACCUGUCGAUUGAACAGUGUCAGGGACUAUCAGAGAUACAAGCCAACAAUAAUAAUAAAAAUCACAACCAGCCACAAACACUAGUCUCGGUCACAUACUUGACAUUCACAAUGUGCUUCCAGACACAUGCCCAGGGCCACUUCUGUCUUUCAGCAGCACCACAAGCUUGACGUUGGUAACCCAAAGGCUGCGAGUGACGCAAAGGACAUGGAGAAAGGCUAAGCGAGUUGCCCAGAUCACACGCAUGUAGGCGGCAGGCCUGCUACCUGAAUCCAAGGCUUUUGAUUUCAAAUUUUGUGACCCCCUCUAAUACAGCCAGUUACAUCAUCCUCAGAUGAAACUUGAAUUCAAUUACAUAGAAAAAAAGAAAAGAGAAAAAUACAGCUGGAAGGAGGAUCAUUUAAGACGUGCAGGCCGGAGUUCCAGUUGUGGCUCAGUGCUUAACGAAUCUGACUAGCAUCCGUGAGGAUGUGGGUUUAAUCCCUGGCCUUGCUCAGUGGGUUAAGAAUCCGGCGUUGCCAUAAACUGUGGUAUAGGUCACAGACGUGGCUCAGAUCUGGCAUUGCUGUGGCUCUGGCGUAGUCCUGCAGCUAUAGCUCCAUUUCUACCCCUAGUCUGGGAAUCUCCAUAUGCCGCAGGGGCGGCCCUAAAAAGCAAAAAAAAAAAAAAAA
RNAcentral lists this long non-coding RNA (6964 nucleotides) under Sus scrofa (pig). Its description in RNAcentral is "lncRNA (ENSSSCG00060071566.1)". The record is from RNAcentral. Lineage: Eukaryota; Metazoa; Chordata; Mammalia; Artiodactyla; Suidae.